Molecule: ribosomal RNA, 432 nt
Filed under: uncultured bacterium
Lineage: Bacteria
Description: partial 16S ribosomal RNA
Rfam family: Bacterial small subunit ribosomal RNA
Source: RNAcentral
AGCGAACGCUGGCGGCAGGCCUAACACAUGCAAGUCGAACGGAACCUUCGGGAUUAGUGGCGGACGGGGGCGUAACACGGGGGAACAUGCCCUUUGGUUCGGAACCAUUCAGGGAAACUUGAGGUAAUAUCGGAUAUGACCUCCUAGGGAAUGAUUUAUAGCCAUUGGAGCGGCCAGCGUCUGCGUAGCCAGUUGGGGAGGUAACGGCUCACCAAGGCGGCGAUCAGUAGCUGGUCUGAGAGGAUGAUCUGCAACACUGCGACUGGGACACGGCGGGAACUUCGGCGGAAGGGAGCAGUGGUGAUCCAUGCACAACGCGCGAAAGACUGAGGCCGCCGUGCCGUGAGAAUGAUGAAGGUCUUAGGAAUGUAAAAUUCUUUCAGCGGGGACGUUAAGACGGGAACCCAAAGAAGAAGCUCGGGCUACUUUGGU